GACUACAUGAAGCUGGAAUCGCUAGUAAUCGCGAAUCAGAAUGUCGCGGUGAAUACGUUCCCGGGUCUUGUACACACCGCCCGUCACACCAUGGGAGUCGGAAAUGCCCGAAGCCGGUGACCCAACCAAAAGGAGGGAGCCGUCGAAGGCAGGUCUGAUAACUGGGGUGAAGUCGUAACAAGGUAUC
This 187-nucleotide ribosomal RNA is filed under the name uncultured bacterium. RNAcentral describes it as "partial 16S ribosomal RNA". It matches the Rfam family "Bacterial small subunit ribosomal RNA", at positions 1314 to 1500 of the family's 1533-position model. The record is from RNAcentral.